UUAAAAGUCACAAAACAAACUCAUAUAACGUAUUAUUAUGUUUUAGUCCCUAAAAACUGGCUACUUGAUCCAUGAACUCCUUGUAGAAGAUCACCCCUUUGAAAUUGAGCAAGAGUUGGAGUUUUUUUCCCACAUUCUGAAACAUCGGAAAGUUCAACUUUCGGCCGAAGGAUUCUUCAUUUUGGACCUGAAGAUUUUAACGAAGAUGAUGUGCACUCUUGUUCCUCUCAUCCUGAUUCUAGUCCAGAGGAGGAAUCGAACCAAAACUGCUUGAAACAAAUCUCAAAAACCGUAGAAACUAG
Long non-coding RNA from Macrosteles quadrilineatus (aster leafhopper), 302 nucleotides. RefSeq lists it as uncharacterized. The transcript has 3 exons. The record is from RefSeq and is a predicted model, not a curated record. NCBI's taxonomy places the organism in Eukaryota, Metazoa, Arthropoda, Insecta, Hemiptera, Cicadellidae.